GAGGGGACCAGAUGGGAUUCUGUAGCCCUCUUCCAGCAGCUGCUUUUCUCAUAACUUCACUUUUAAGGGCACUUUCCUAGGACUCUCUCCAGCCUCUUCUGCAAGUGCUCAGGAGGGUUUAUGGAGACAAAGCCUGAAGAGAUUGUGGAUACACCCAAUUUCUCUGGUUCCUACUGCCUUCACCACUGCAUAUCCAGCCUCUGCCAAUUCUCUAAUCACCCCAAUGUGUCUCUUCUUACCAUCGUCUACUCGUGUCUACACCAGUAGAAAGUGAGAUAUUCUUGAAUGCUUCCAAGAAAAGGAGUGAUGACUUCAGACAUUUAUUGAGAGGUUUAAUCUGGAACCAGAGUGAAGGAUGGAUUGCAGGGGAGAAAGAGAUCACUAGUAAGGAAGCCUGAGUGAAGAAAGCCUCCGUGACUGGGACAUAAAGAGAUGACAGCAUUGUCAGCAGCUCUGUCUUUGCAGGAACUUGUGUCAUGGUGGAUUGCAUAACCCCAAAGGCUCAAAGAGGUGCCAGAGUAAGAUCUCCAGCCUCCAAAAAGUCCUGCACAUUGUACUAUGUCUAGCAAGUCUUCCAGUGUUGCAUAAAAAUACGAAGCAAAGAACUUGCCUCCUGUGUGGAGUGACAGAGUGAAGAGCAGCCUAAGUACAACUGUCUACCCAAGAGUCACAUUUGAAAACAUAGAAAUGUUCUGUUCAAAGCAGUAGGCACCAGCAUGCCUCACUGAAGUAAAAGUUUGAAAUGAGGCCACACACAGUGGCUCAUGCCUUUAAUCCUAGCACUCUGGGGGCCAAGGCAGGUGGACCACUUGAGUCCAGGAGUUGGAGACCAGCCUGGGCAACACAGUGAAACCCCGUCUCUACAAAAAAAAAAAAAAUACAAAAAACAGCCAGCAUGGUGGCACAUGCCUGUAGUCCCAGCUACCUGGGAGGCUAAGGCAAGAAGAUUACUUGAGCCCAGAAGGUCAAGGCUGCAGUGAGCCAUGAUCACACCACUACUCCAGCCUGGGCAACAGAGUGAGAUCCUGUCUCAAAAAAAAAAGUUUGAAAUGGGCCUGGUUUAUAAUUUGGGUUCUUAUAAUACUACUUUGAGCACAUCUCCCCUUUCUUUUUUUUUUUUCCUGUCUUCCUUAAUGCACCAUGAAACCUCCCUCCUUAGCCUAGCACUCCACGGUGAAAUAAGAAAACUAACUAGAAAUCAGAUGUUAGCCCUGGGGCCAGCAUUCCUGGUAAAUUAAAUAAUGCAACACCUUUGUUAAAACAUUUUUUCUGCUGAGUCUUUUCUUUCUUAUGAAAGAAUAAAAUGAUGCCAAAGGCCAUAAUCUAGGACUUGAUGACUCUCUUGGUCUAGUGUUCCCUUCCUCACCUCUAGCUAAGCUCAGGAUUUGGUCCUGUCUGCUGACCUCCACCUGUCUGUAUGUGUGUGUGUCUCACACACACACUCACACAACCAUUACCUGUCUCAAAUUGCUUGCUUCUUUAUCACACCCCAUGGGAGUCAGAUGGCUCCAUCAUGGCCUCAGUAAGACUCGGCCAUUGCCCUCCUCCUCCCUUUACAGCCAGGCUCCCUGUACCUUCCUUGGUGUCAGUUUAUCCACCUUUUGCUGAUCCCCUCUAUGGGAAGAAGGUGAACUAGGGAAAAUCCCAGGACACCGUUCUAUUUCCCCAUCACCCGCAACAGUUGGUUCUCCAUCUGUCAUUAAUUCCACAAGGAACUAGGCUAGGCCCUUGAGACACAAAGACACAAAGAAUUAAGUAAGAUUCUACAAGGGAAGAGAAAAUCCAUGAAAAUGUGAUUUGUGUAAAUUACUGUAAUGAAUUUGUCAAGCAGUAUGUUCAGAGCACUACACGAAUGCAAAAGCUUUACUUUACAAAGGAAGAAGAGGGUCCUUCCACUGGGGAAAAAAACAGGAAAGCACAGGAAAGGAGGUUGCAUAUGCAAAAGGGUGGAACCAAAAAGAACAUAGCAUAUUCAGGUUUGUACUGCUAAAGUAAAGGAGACAUGGAGAUAAAUGGUAGAGCUUUAUUAUGUCAAUUAUUCUAAUGGAAGAUUUUCAGUCCAUACAAGCAACAGAGAAUGAGACAAUAGCAGCUAGCAGAAGGUUUUCUAGAAAGCCUCAGCAUCUUCAGUGAGGAGGCUUCACUGAAGAGGGGUAAAAUAUACCAGAGGGUUCAGCACCAGAGACAGAGCAGCAAUAAAUCUACAAGUCUAUGGAGAGCAGCUUGGAAAAGAAAUACGGCCUUGAAAUUAAUCUGUCUAGUCAAAGAUUAGACCAUGAGCAAUUACCUCUACCCCUUGGUCUAAUUUUACUAUAGGGAAACAGAGGGAAAUUAAUCUAGCCCAAGAAACCCUAUAAGUUAUUUUUCCCAAGUUGCACACAUUGAAAAAUCGUUAAGUAUACGCAUAUUUGAAAAGGCAUAUACCAACAUUCUAGCCAUCUCUUAUAGCAUCCCUCAAAAUACCAUCUCCUCAACAUGCCAUGAGUAUUUCUGGUAUGUGGUAGUGCAUUACUGGACUUCCCAAAUAUCACUUUGGUGGUUAUUACUUAACAAUCAUUUAUCCGAGAGAAAUAAAGACGUGUCUAUACAAAAACCUGCAUGUAAAUUUGGAAGCAGCUUUAUUGAUAAUUGCCCCAAACUGGAAACACCUCAACUGCUUAAUGAAAAAACAAAAUGUGGUAAAUCCGUAAAAUAAAAUAUUAGUUAGCAAUUAAAAGUAACAAACUAUUGACAUGUGACAAUUUGGAUAAGCCACAGGGGCAUUAUGCUAAGUGGGAGUAGAGGGGAAGCCAGACUCAAAGGAAUUCUUACUAUGUAGCUUUACUUACAUGACAUUCCAGGAGAGAUAAAUUAUACUGCUGCAUGAUAUGAGACUGGUUUUUCUCCCUUCACCUGUUGUGACAGAUGCUAAAAUAGUACUGCUGUUCUCACUGUCUGGUUGGUCAGGAGAAGACAGAUGACCACCCGAUGACCACAGUGGGAAGAAGAUGGACAGAUGGUGCUCUAGGGAAAGCAUAUUGAGACCACCUGCCUCAGAAGAGAGGAACCAGGGCAAGUUGUAGCUUUACCUAUUAAGAGAUGCAGUGUUUAACCAUGAUGAAAAUGCAAGACUGCUCAUAUGACAAGUGAGAGCUGAGAACAGCAUGUGAAAUCUGGAAGUGAGGCAGAAGAUGUGGGUCUGGGGAAUGCACUGCACCAGAGAAUUUUCAAUUACUAUUGAACUUUCACAUUCCUCUUAGGUGGCAACCAAACCAUGUGCAGGAAUCUCUCUGGCACAACGAGUAAGGGAGAGAACAAAAACCACCCAGGUUUUGCCUAGACAUUUGUGUAUGUGUCUGUAAAGUUAGGGCAUGGAGAGUAUGGCAGACAGACUGGCUCUAUGACCCCUGCCUCUUGGUAUUCAUAGCCUUGUACUAUUUCCUCUCUUUGAGUAUGGAAAAGAUCUGUGACCAAUAAAAUAUGACAGGGGUAAUAGGAUGUCACUCCUGUGAUUAUGUUAUAUAAGAAUCCAUCUUGCUAGCCAGCUUUCUCUAGGGUUUUGCUUUCCUCACUGGCUUUGAAGAAGCAAGCUGCUGUAAGUCUUAUAGCCACAAGAAAGUGAAUUAUUCCAACAACCUGAGUUUGAAGUGGCAGAGCCUCCAGAACCCCAGUUAAGCCUCCAGAUGAGAAUGCAGCCUUGAUGUACACCUUGAUAGAAGCCUUGCAGAGGACCUAAUUUUUUGGACUCCUGACCCAGAAAAGCUGUGAGAUAAUAAAUAUGUGCUUUUUUACGCUGUUGAAUAUAUGGUAAUUUGCUACACAGCAUAGAAAAUUAAUGCAGGUGGGUACACUUCAUUUGUGGUUUCUUA
RNAcentral lists this long non-coding RNA (3848 nucleotides) under Homo sapiens (human). RNAcentral describes it as "HSALNT0029965". The record is from RNAcentral. Lineage: Eukaryota; Metazoa; Chordata; Mammalia; Primates; Hominidae.